GCGCGCGUGGCUCAGUGGUAGAGCGUCUCCAUGACACGGAGAAGGUCGGAGGUUCGAUCCCUCCCGCGCGCACCA
RNAcentral lists this transfer RNA (75 nucleotides) under bacterium. Its description in RNAcentral is "tRNA-Val". It matches the Rfam family "tRNA". Rfam says of the family: Transfer RNA (tRNA) molecules are approximately 80 nucleotides in length. Their secondary structure includes four short double-helical elements and three loops (D, anti-codon, and T loops). The record is from RNAcentral.